This 107-nucleotide microRNA precursor is filed under the name Chlorocebus sabaeus (green monkey). RNAcentral's name for it is "miRNA (ENSCSAG00000023303.1)". Lineage: Eukaryota; Metazoa; Chordata; Mammalia; Primates; Cercopithecidae. The record is from RNAcentral.
GCACUAUGUAUAGGUUGAUGAAAAGCAAUUGCGGCUUUUGCCACUAAAAGUAAUGGCAAAACCCACAAUUAUUCUUGCACCAACCUAAUAACUGUGGACCGUGUAGC